GACGAACGCUGGCGGCGUGCCUAAUACAUGCAAGUAGAACGCUGAAGGAGGAGCUUGCUUCUCUGGAUGAGUUGCGAACGGGUGAGUAACGCGUAGGUAACCUGCCUGGUAGCGGGGGAUAACUAUUGGAAACGAUAGCUAAUACCGCAUAACAGUAGAUAUCGCAUGAUAUCUACUUGAAAGGUGCAAUUGCAUCACUACCAGAUGGACCUGCGUUGUAUUAGCUAGUUGGUGAGGUAACGGCUCACCAAGGCGACGAUACAUAGCCGACCUGAGAGGGUGAUCGGCCACACUGGGACUGAGACACGGCCCAGACUCCUACGGGAGGCAGCAGUAGGGAAUCUUCGGCAAUGGACGGAAGUCUGACCGAGCAACGCCGCGUGAGUGAAGAAGGUUGUCGGAUCGUAAAGCUCUGUUGUAAGGGAAGAACGAGUGUGAGAGUGGAAAGUUCACACUGUGACGGUAUCUUACCAGAAAGGGACGGCUAACUACGUG
Molecule: ribosomal RNA, 495 nt
Filed under: uncultured bacterium
Lineage: Bacteria
Description: partial 16S ribosomal RNA
Rfam family: Bacterial small subunit ribosomal RNA
Source: RNAcentral